UAGAGUUUGAUCAUGGCUCAGAUUGAACGCUGGCGGAAUGCUUUACACAUGCAAGUCGAGCGGCAGCGCGGGGCAACCUGGCGGCGAGCGGCGAACGGGUGAGUAAUACAUCGGAACGUACCCAGUUGUGGGGGAUAGCCCGGCGAAAGCCGGAUUAAUACCGCAUACGACCUGAGGGUGAAAGCGGGGGAUCGCAAGACCUCGCGCAGUUGGAGCGGCCGAUGGCGGAUUAGCUAGUUGGUGAGGUAAUGGCUCACCAAGGCGACGAUCCGUAGCUGGUCUGAGAGGACGACCAGCCACACUGGAACUGAGACACGGUCCAGACUCCUACGGGAGGCAGCAGUGGGGAAUUUUGGACAAUGGGGGAAACCCUGAUCCAGCCAUUCCGCGUGAGUGAAGAAGGCCUUCGGGUUGUAAAGCUCUUUCGGCAGGAACGAAACGGUCUUUUCUAAUACAAGAGGCUAAUGACGGUACCUGAAGAAGAAGCACCGGCUAACUACGUGCCAGCAGCCGCGGUAAUACGUAGGGUGCGAGCGUUAAUCGGAAUUACUGGGCGUAAAGCGUGCGCAGGCGGUUUUGUAAGAUAGGCGUGAAAUCCCCGGGCUCAACCUGGGAACUGCGCUUAUGACUGCAAGGCUAGAGUGUGGCAGAGGGGGGUAGAAUUCCACGUGUAGCAGUGAAAUGCGUAGAGAUGUGGAGGAAUACCGAUGGCGAAGGCAGCCCCCUGGGCUAACACUGACGCUCAUGCACGAAAGCGUGGGGAGCAAACAGGAUUAGAUACCCUGGUAGUC
This 791-nucleotide ribosomal RNA is filed under the name uncultured Rhodocyclaceae bacterium. RNAcentral describes it as "bacterial SSU rRNA". It matches the Rfam family "Bacterial small subunit ribosomal RNA", at positions 1 to 795 of the family's 1533-position model. Lineage: Bacteria; Pseudomonadati; Pseudomonadota; Betaproteobacteria; Rhodocyclales; Rhodocyclaceae. The record is from RNAcentral.